ACGAAAAGAGCCAAAGCAAAAGAACAAAAAAGGAAUGGAACAAGUGAACGAGAAGAAGGAACAAACCAACCAUUUCCUUUCAUUUCUUCUUUCUCUUUUCCUUUGGCUUAUUUCACGCUUCCUUCAUCCCUCAUCCAUUGUAAAUAAGCCAAAGAGAAAAGGUAAGAAGAUUAUGAAAGUAAAUAGCUGGUUUGUGUUGUGUUCUUUGUUCGUGCCUUUGUUAUAAUUGAAUGGCAAGUGAAGUGCGCGCAUUCAAUUAAAACAAAUGA
RNAcentral lists this non-coding RNA (269 nucleotides) under Symbiodinium sp. CCMP2430. The record is from RNAcentral. Lineage: Eukaryota; Dinophyceae; Suessiales; Symbiodiniaceae.